CACACACGCUCACACACACACACACACACACACGCUCACACACACACGCUCACACACACACGCUGGCCAACCGCUCCCACAGAACACCAAAACAUUUACAACCAGUUUACAGUCUGCAAGAAGAUUAUACAGCAAGCCUGCUUCCUGUAACCUUAUCCACACACACAUGCACACACACACACACAUGCACACACACACACACACACACAUUUAGGCUUUUGGAACGAUAGACAUCACUUGAACCCAGAAGUAUCCCACUGCCUGUGCUCUCAGACCACCUCAAACGAUCUCCUCAUCUGUGUGGCAAUCAGUUAGUCAUGCCUGGGAGCUGAUCUGCUUUAUCUGAGCUCUGCUCCUCAUGCCUGAAAGGUUGUGUAGUCAGUCAGUCUGUCUGUGUGUGUGUGUGUCUCUGUUUCGCUCAGCACAGUGUGUGUGUGUGUGUGUGUGUGUGUGUGUGUGUGUUUUAGUAGACCACUAGCACAGAGACUGGUGCAUUGGGGAGGGAAAGGCAGAAUUCAGCACUCACACAAACACACUCACCCUACGUCUCACACACACACACACACUCGCCCUACGUCACACACACUCACACACUCGCCCUACGUCACACACACACACACUUACUUCAUAACCGUGCAUUUCUAUGUCACACACACACACUCACUUCAUAACCGUGCGUCCCUACAUCACAAACACACACACACACUCACUUCAGACUCUAAAGGCUUAUCUUCACGAGGUUAUAAGGUAUGUUGGGCUCCUCCCUGUCUGCCGCUGAUCAGCCAAUCAGAAGAGCAGCUGGAGUAGACUAGCAAAUCACUAAUGAGGUGCAGCAGCCAAUCAGCUGAAGCUAGGAGGAGCUGUAUAAUUCCUCUGUCAUGUCAUUUAUUUACUGUAGCCAUACAUUCUCAUUCUUUAGUGUGUGUGUGUGUGUGUGUGUGUGUGUGUGUGUGUGUGUGUUGUGUGUGUGUGUGUGUGUGUGUGUGUGUGUGUGUGUGUGUGUGUGUGUGAGAGUGAGAGAGAGAGGAAAAUAAAGUGUGUUCCAGUACCACACACGCAGAAAGAAGACACACACACAGCUGACGAAAACCCAAAUCACCGUUGGCGCAAGACAGCUCUGUGUGUGGACCACACUCCUGCCACACACACACACACACACACACACACAACCCUCUAGCCCUGAACACGGACACACACACACUCACCCCUCUGCCCUGGUCCUGAGUAGGCGACCCACACACACACACACACACACACACGCAUAGACUUGGGUUCCACUAAAGUUAUGCCCAAGCUAUACAUCUCACACAACCUAAAGCCUUGCAUACACACACACACACACACACACCUUAAAGGCUUGCGCACACACACACGUCCUAAAGGCUUGCGUUGAACACUCCAAAUAAUCACUGUCAUCCAUUUUGGACCACAGUUUAAGAAAUUAACCAAUCAGUGAACAGAUAGCUGCUUUUUUUUUUAUUACUAUGUAAUAGUAACAUCCUUUCUAACUGACGGAGGGUUCCACCAAUGGGCAAAGGCACUGGAGCAUUCCGACAGGAGGCGGGCACAGUGGGGAAGGUUGUGAUUGGAGGAGAGAUAAUUGGGGCGGGCUUUGGAUGGAC
Molecule: long non-coding RNA, 1622 nt
Organism: Clupea harengus (Atlantic herring)
Lineage: Eukaryota; Metazoa; Chordata; Actinopteri; Clupeiformes; Clupeidae
Source: Ensembl